UGGGGAAUAUUGCACAAUGGGCGCAAGCCUGAUGCAGCCAUGCCGCGUGUAUGAAGAAGGCCUUCGGGUUGUAAAGUACUUUCAGCGGGGAGGAAGGGAGUAAAGUUAAUACAUUUGGUCAUUGACGUUACCCGCAGAAGAAGCACCGGCUAACUCCGUGCCAGCAGCCGCGGUAAUACGGAGGGUGCAAGAGUUAAGCGGAAUUACUGGGCGUAAAGCGCACGCAGGCGGUUUGUUAAGUCAGAUGUGAAAUCCCCGGGCUCAACCUGGGAACUGAAUCUGAUACUGGCAAGCUUGAGUCUCGUAGAGGGGGGUAGAAUUCCAGGUGUAGCGGUGAAAUGCGUAGAGAUCUGGAGGAAUACCGGUGGCGAAGGCGGCCCCCUGGACGAAGACUGACGCUCAGGUGCGAAAGAGUGGGGAGCAAACAGG
This 429-nucleotide ribosomal RNA is filed under the name Chloroflexota bacterium. RNAcentral's name for it is "Chloroflexi bacterium partial 16S ribosomal RNA". It matches the Rfam family "Bacterial small subunit ribosomal RNA", at positions 355 to 776 of the family's 1533-position model. Lineage: Bacteria; Bacillati; Chloroflexota. The record is from RNAcentral.